UUUAAUACGAUUCAAGAAAAAUCAACUACGAUCUACUACUUUGAGAUUUGCGUGGCUUAUACGAGCGAAGGAAACCUUAAGAUGAUGACAGCACACAACAACGACCGAAAUUACAAAAACGAUGAUGACAAGGCAGCGACGGCGCAACAACUGACGACGACAGCGACUCAGCUGGCGCAUAGACGUCAACAGUGCACAUACGGAAGCUCCAAUGCACAGGGUUGCAUUUACCAGUGACACAACUAAAUUCUAAUCAGAUUUUUUUAAAGUAGAUUAUGGAAGUUAAUGCAGUUAUUAAGUUGGCGUAAGAUUAGAAAUGUGAGAAGUAACGCAAAAAUAUUGGUAUGCUAAACUAUGCUAAGUGCGGUAUAAUAAUUAUAAUGUAGCGGACACCGUUUGAAAAUAAUAUAUUUAAUUUCUUCUUAAAUACAUAUUACACAGUUAUACUCCAAGUUUUUUUACAAAUAGAGGAAUCUACAGUAUUUUACCAUCUCGCUGUUCGGAGGGUUUUUUUUUUAAGUUAACCGCCGACAGAAAAGCUAGUUUUAUACUCUUUAAGUGGGACUAUGCAAAAUAAAAAACAAGACGAAGGCUUAUAAAUAUAAAUAUUUGUAUACUCACAAACUUCAAAUUUGAACGCAGCAGGGAGAGAAACGAAAGCAGCCAAAGAAAGAAAUAAAUGCGAAAUAUCGUUAAUAUGAAAUUGCAAUAGAAUGGCUCACUGAGUGAAAUUAUCUUGAGUACAACAACAAAUAAUAAGACGGCUUUUGUAAGACAGAAUUUGUUUGGUGACCACUAGCGGACCAAUCAACUCCGUUUUCAAAAAUGCCAACUUACAAAGGAGCACGCACACAUGUAUAUACAUAUAGACUAUACACUCGUGUACAUAUGUACAGAAAACACACGAAAAGUCACGAAUAAAUCAAAACAAAAACAAAAAACACCGUAAUUUGGUAAUAUAUUGCAUUUAUCUUGCGUCAAACCAAAGUGAUCGCCAUCCGCACGCCCAAUACACAACAAUACGUGCAC
This is a long non-coding RNA of Anastrepha ludens (Mexican fruit fly), 1029 nucleotides long. RefSeq lists it as uncharacterized. The transcript is spliced from 5 exons. Lineage: Eukaryota; Metazoa; Arthropoda; Insecta; Diptera; Tephritidae. The record is from RefSeq and is a predicted model, not a curated record.